Molecule: ribosomal RNA, 332 nt
Filed under: uncultured eukaryote
Lineage: Eukaryota
Description: partial 18S ribosomal RNA
Rfam family: Eukaryotic small subunit ribosomal RNA
Source: RNAcentral
CCCUUAGAUGUUCUGGGCUGCACACGUGCUACACUGGCAGGUUCAGCGAGCUUCAUGCCCUGAUCUGAAAGGAAUGGGAAAUCUUUUCAAAACCUGCCGUGCUUGGGAUAGAUGUUUGCAAUUAUUCAUCUUCAACGAGGAUUGCCUUGUAAGCGCACGUCAUCAGCGUGCAUUGAAUACGACCCUGUAUUCUGUACACACCGCCCGUCGCUCCUACCGAUUGAAGUUUUCGGUGAGUUGACAGGAGGAUUUUUUUGAAACUGGUUCGCCAGUGGAUUUUAGAUCCAAAUGCCAACGAAUCGAUGGCUUUAUAGGAAGGAGAAGUCGUAACA